UACCAGACUCCUACGGGAGGCAGCAGUGGGGGAUAUUGCACAAUGGGGGAAACCCUGAUGCAGCGACGCCGCGUGGGCGAAGAAGUAUUUCGGUAUGUAAAGCCCUAUCAGCAGGGAAGAAGAAAUGACGGUACCUGAGUAAGAAGCACCGGCUAACUACGUGCCAGCAGCCGCGGUAAUACGUAGGUGGCAAGCGUUGUCCGGAUUUACUGGGUGUAAAGGGCGUGCAGCCGGGAAGACAAGUCAGAUGUGAAAUCCCGCGGCUCAACCGCGGAACUGCAUUUGAAACUGUUUUUCUUGAGUACCGGAGAGGUCAUCGGAAUUCCUUGUGUAGCGGUGAAAUGCGUAGAUAUAAGGAAGAACACCAGUGGCGAAGGCGGAUGACUGGACGGCAACUGACGGUGAGGCGCAAAAGCGUGGGGAGCAAACAGGAUUAGAUACCCUUGUA
This 448-nucleotide ribosomal RNA is filed under the name uncultured bacterium. Its description in RNAcentral is "partial 16S ribosomal RNA". It matches the Rfam family "Bacterial small subunit ribosomal RNA", at positions 329 to 792 of the family's 1533-position model. The record is from RNAcentral.